RNAcentral lists this ribosomal RNA (429 nucleotides) under Verrucomicrobiota bacterium. Its description in RNAcentral is "Verrucomicrobia bacterium partial 16S ribosomal RNA". It matches the Rfam family "Bacterial small subunit ribosomal RNA", at positions 355 to 776 of the family's 1533-position model. Lineage: Bacteria; Pseudomonadati; Verrucomicrobiota. The record is from RNAcentral.
UAGGGAAUCUUCCGCAAUGGACGAAAGUCUGACGGAGCAACGCCGCGUGAGUGAAGAAGGAUUUCGGUUCGUAAAACUCUGUUGGGAGGGAAGAAAAAAUGUAUAGUAACUAUAUACAAAAGAGACGGUACCUAACCAGAAAGCCACGGCUAACUACGUGCCAGCAGCCGCGGUAAUACGGAGGUGGCAAGCGGUGUCCGGAAUUAUUGGGCGUAAAGCGCGCGCAGGUGGUGUAGAAAGUCUGAUGUGAAAGCCCACGGCUCAACCGUGGGGGGUCAUUGGAAACUAAUAAACUUGAGUGCAGGAGAGAAAAGUGGAAUUCCUAGUGUAGCGGUGAAAUGCGUAGAGAUUAGGGGGAACACCGGUGGCGCGAGCGCCUUUUUGGCCUGCAACUGACACUGUGGCGCGAAAGCGUGUGGAGCACACAGG